RNAcentral lists this ribosomal RNA (301 nucleotides) under uncultured bacterium. Its description in RNAcentral is "partial 16S ribosomal RNA". It matches the Rfam family "Bacterial small subunit ribosomal RNA", at positions 509 to 807 of the family's 1533-position model. The record is from RNAcentral.
CAGCAGCCGCGGUAAUACGAAGGGGGCUAGCGUUGCUCGGAAUUACUGGGCGUAAAGGGCGCGUAGGCGGACAGUUAAGUCAGAGGUGAAAGCCCAGGGCUCAACCUUGGAACUGCCUUUGAUACUGGCUGUCUAGAGUGCGGGAGAGGUGUGUGGAACUUCGAGUGUAGAGGUGAAAUUCGUAGAUAUUCGGAAGAACACCAGUGGCGAAGGCGACACACUGGCCCGUAACUGACGCUGAGGCGCGAAAGCGUGGGGAGCAAACAGGAUUAGAUACCCCCGUAGUCCCUGUCUCUUAUAC